This 1583-nucleotide long non-coding RNA is filed under the name Elaeis guineensis (African oil palm). Its description in RNAcentral is "long non-coding RNA (EGUI_LNC056233)". The record is from RNAcentral. Lineage: Eukaryota; Viridiplantae; Streptophyta; Magnoliopsida; Arecales; Arecaceae.
UCUAAUAUUCAAAUCCAACCACCUCUAUCAAAAUCUGAUUAAACCGAACAUUCUAAACUCAUUCACCAUUUAGUUAGAUAUUAAUAGAUAUACCUCUAUGUUGUUGAUAAGUGCUUCUGUCACAUCAUGGAUCUCUCAGGAAACAUGCUUGGCUUUUCUAAUCAAUAAAUUUGAAAAGAGUCCUAUAAGAUGGAAGAGGAUAUCCUUUUCUUUAGUUGGAUAUCUCACAGUGGUUAUCUUUGUACACUUUGCUUUGCUCGCCUAUUAGAUUUUUCUCUUCUCAAUCCUUGAUGGAUCAUUAGGAAAAUAGAUCUAAUCAAAAGAAGCUCCUUUUGAAGAGGUUUUUGAUGGCACAAAUUAGGGUUUCUGGCUCUUCAGAUUUGUCUCUUAUAUUUCAGUAUUGAGAACAUAUCACUUAUUAACUCACUUUUCUAGCCAAGCAAUGGUCGAAAUCAAAAACUUUGCCGAAUUUGAUAAAGUUUGUGCAAUUUAUCAUCAUUUUUUGUUAAUCUAGAAGAAGAGGAUUAAGUAGUAGUGAUUACCAUCAUGUUAGAAGAUCUUCCUUCUUUAAGAAAGGAGUUCUCAUAGUGAAGUCUUUAUUUUUAGUGGAAUUAGAUUUGACAUGAGAAAUUGUAGCAUUAUCAAUUCCUAAGAGAUAUCUAAAUGAGAAAACCUUUCCAUAAUCUAUUGAAUCUCCAUUUCUUUGCACCGGGAGCUACAAAAGCGACAUUUCUAGCUAAUUUGCUAGUGAUUCUUGCUUGGCUCACUCAGUUCCUCCAUCCUUUAAACAAUGAUCAUCAUGCUGAUUUAGUUCAACUACAUUCUUCCUCUUACUCCUAUUCUAUCUAUUCCUUUUAUUGGUUAUAUUCUCCUGGUUCUAUGCUCUCUUGUUUUGUUAAAAGUAUGUGAAAAUGAUUUACCUCAAAAGGAAAAAAAAAAAGACUUUCUCUUAUCACAAGAAGAAAAGGUCUUCAUGCAGCUAGCCAUCAACAACAAAAUCUUCAUAGUAGACAAUGUCAUUAAAAGGAACUAGAAUGUCCUCUUGGCUUGCCCCUUACUUCUGCAGCUAGAGGAAACUAUAGAUCACUUAUUCCUUGUUUAUCCCUUCCUUUUGCCAUUCCUUAUUCCUGACUUCUCAUUUAAAGUAUGAGCAUUCUAGAGACAGCAGCUGAUCUGGAGGAAUUCAAGAACUUGUUGGGCUUUGUGGUAAAAAAUUACUUCUUGGUGUAUAUGAAUGGAAAACAAAUUGAAAGUUUUCUCCUAUAAGAUUAGAAUCAUAACUUUCAAGUAUUCAAGUUCAUCAAGUUACUUAUUAUUGACUAGUCCAAAUUUGCCCUCAAUGAGAUUUCCCUAACCUCUAUGUUCACUUAAUAUUGUAUUUUGGCUUUCUUUUUACCUUCUGAUUUUUAUUCACCUCUACCCUUUUUCCUUUUUCUUUUUUUAAUGUUUCUUUAUCCUGGGCCUGUUUAAAACUACUUACAGUCCCAUAGUAAAAAUGAUUUCAUAUUUUCUCAAACCUUCACUGAAGAAAUAAAAGGGGAUCACAUGAGCCCAUUACUCAUUAUAAGAGAACCAUUUGUAAG